This 253-nucleotide ribosomal RNA is filed under the name uncultured bacterium. RNAcentral's name for it is "partial 16S ribosomal RNA". It matches the Rfam family "Bacterial small subunit ribosomal RNA", at positions 524 to 776 of the family's 1533-position model. The record is from RNAcentral.
UACAGAGGGGGCAAGCGUUGUUCGGAAUUACUGGGCGUAAAGGGCGCGUAGGCGGCCUGCUAAGUCGAACGUGAAAUCCCCGGGCUCAACCCGGGAACUGCGUCCGAUACUGGCAGGCUUGAAUCCGGGAGAGGGAUGCGGAAUUCCAGGUGUAGCGGUGAAAUGCGUAGAUAUCUGGAGGAACAUCAGUUGCGAAGGCGGCUCUCUGGACCAGCACUGACACUGAGGCACGAAAGCGUGGGGAGCAAACAGG